Molecule: ribosomal RNA, 720 nt
Filed under: uncultured Nitrosopumilales archaeon
Lineage: Archaea; Thermoproteati; Nitrososphaerota; Nitrososphaeria; Nitrosopumilales
Description: bacterial SSU rRNA
Rfam family: Archaeal small subunit ribosomal RNA
Source: RNAcentral
ACCUGACUGCUAUCGGAUUGAUACUAAGCCAUGCGAGUCAUUGUAGCAAUACAAGGCAGACGGCUCAGUAACGCGUAGUCAACCUACCCUAUGGACGGGAAUAACCUCGGGAAACUGAGAAUAAUGCCCGAUAGAACAUUAUGCCUGGAAUGGUUUAUGUUCCAAAUGAUUUAUCGCCGUAGGAUGGGACUGCGGCCUAUCAGUUUGUUGGUGAGGUAAUGGCCCACCAAGACUAUUACAGGUACGGGCUCUGAGAGGAGUAGCCCGGAGAUGGGUACUGAGACACGGACCCAGGCCCUAUGGGGCGCAGCAGGCGAGAAAACUUUGCAAUGUGCGAAAGCACGACAAGGUUAAUCCGAGUGGUUUCUGCUAAAGGAACCUUUUGACAGUCCUAGAAACACUGUUGAAUAAGGGGUGGGCAAGUUCUGGUGUCAGCCGCCGCGGUAAAACCAGCACCUCAAGUGGUCAGGAUGAUUAUUGGGCCUAAAGCAUCCGUAGCCGGCUCUGUAAGUUUUCGGUUAAAUCUAUACGCUCAACGUAUAGGCUGCCGGGAAUACUGCAGAGCUAGGGAGUGGGAGAGGUAGACGGUACUCGGUAGGAAGGGGUAAAAUCCUUUGAUCUAUUGAUGACCACCUGUGGCGAAGGCGGUCUACCAGAACACGUCCGACGGUGAGGGAUGAAAGCUGGGGGAGCAAACCGGAUUAGAUACCCGGGUAGUCC